Molecule: ribosomal RNA, 252 nt
Filed under: uncultured bacterium
Lineage: Bacteria
Description: partial 16S ribosomal RNA
Rfam family: Bacterial small subunit ribosomal RNA
Source: RNAcentral
UACGUAGGUCCCGAGCGUUGUCCGGAUUUAUUGGGCGUAAAGCGAGCGCAGGUGGUUUAUUAAGUCUGGUGUAAAAGGCAGUGGCUCAACCAUUGUAUGCAUUGGAAACUGGUAGACUUGAGUGCAGGAGAGGAGAGUGGAACUCCAUGUGUAGCGGUGAAAUGCGUAGAUAUCAGGAGGAACACCGGUGGCGAAGGCGGCCUGCUGGACUGCAACUGACGUUGAGGCCCGAAAGCGUGGGGAGCAAACAGG